RNAcentral lists this ribosomal RNA (422 nucleotides) under Klebsiella aerogenes. Its description in RNAcentral is "partial 23S ribosomal RNA". It matches the Rfam family "Bacterial large subunit ribosomal RNA", at positions 1239 to 1660 of the family's 2925-position model. Lineage: Bacteria; Pseudomonadati; Pseudomonadota; Gammaproteobacteria; Enterobacterales; Enterobacteriaceae. The record is from RNAcentral.
UUCUGUAAGCCUGCGAAGGUGGCCUGUGAGGGUUGCUGGAGGUAUCAGAAGUGCGAAUGCUGACAUAAGUAACGAUAAUGCGGGUGAAAAGCCCGCACGCCGGAAGACCAAGGGUUCCUGUCCAACGUUAAUCGGGGCAGGGUGAGUCGACCCCUAAGGCGAGGCCGAAAGGCGUAGUCGAUGGGAAACAGGUUAAUAUUCCUGUACUUGGUGUUACUGCGAAGGGGGGACGGAGAAGGCUAUGUUAGCCGGGCGACGGUUGUCCCGGUUUAAGCAUGUAGGCGGAGGUUCCAGGUAAAUCCGGUACCUUUUAACGCUGAGGUGUGAUGACGAAGCACUACGGUGCUGAAGUAACAAAUGCCCUGCUUCCAGGAAAAGCCUCUAAGCAUCAGGUAACAUUGAAUCGUACCCCAAACCGACAC